Molecule: long non-coding RNA, 2191 nt
Organism: Biomphalaria glabrata
Lineage: Eukaryota; Metazoa; Mollusca; Gastropoda; Planorbidae
Exons: 2
Source: RefSeq, a predicted model, not a curated record
UGAUAGUUGUACAUCUUCUACUAGAUCAAGUUAAAUAUAGCUAUCCUUUUCUAGAUGUAAUGUGAAAGUGUACCUUAUAGUAUUUUUCAUUCUUAGGUGGAUCUUGAUAAAACUGCCUUGUUUUGUGGUUUGCACGAGACGGUUGACACAAUGAUCUGAAGUUCAAACUGCCAUUUUCUACUGUCCGCUGCGAGAUCUUGGCUGGAAUGUAAAAGGAAUGUCCAAAAUAUUUAAAUGACAAACAGGAUGGGAACUGAUUAUGAGGAAUGUAUGUCCAGUUUUUUUUUGUUUUUUUUUAAAUACAGAUAUGAAAGAUGACAGUACCCUAACUUAGAGUCAUAGGUCUUUCAUUAAUUUAUUUACUCAGAUGCUGAAACAGACAUCUGGCAUAUUCCUAUAAUCAGUAUCAUGGCCUUUGUAUACAACAAAAUUGAUUGGAACUCCUACACUAGAAAUAUAAUUCAAGAUUUAAAUAAGGCACUGGUCAUAGUUUUAGAAAGAGUGGCUAGCAUUCUGGUAAGAUAUUUUAUUAAUAAUUAGAAAUUAAAUUAAAUUUUAUGUAAUGAUUUUAAAUUUCUUUUUUAAGAAUUAUGGUCCAUUUUUUCCCCAUUUGUGUACAAAGAAGGAAGAAAGAGAGAUGGGAAGACAUCAAAGAAUGGACAGGUCUGCCAUGAAAUGUUUUAUCCAUGGCUAAGUACAGAGAGGAAUAUAGAAGGGCUGUUGACAGAUCUUGUGUAGUGCCCCCAUGGUUCAACAGACUGAUUGAUAGAAAAUAAUACCAGGGUUAUGGUCCUUUCACUGUUGAGUUCCAGGAUGAAGAAUGAAAGACAGAGAGCAAUGUGAAGACAUCAAAGAAUGUGCAGGUCUGCCAUGAAAUUGUUUAUCUAGGACUAAGUACAGAGAGGAAUAUAGAAGGGCUGUCGACAGAUCUUGUGUGGUGCCCCCAUGGUUCAACAGACUGAUUGAUAGGUAAUGGUAAGAAUUUAAUGUAUUUUGAUUCUUACUUGUCAUUUUUGUGAUUAAUGCUCAGAAUAGAAUUUGUACAUUUUAAUUUUUUUUUUAUGUGGUUAUUUAGAAUUUGCAUUCAAGUUUUUCGUAGUGGCUGUUUGAAUCGACAUAUGCUUUUUGUGAUUUCUGUUUGGAAUCAAACUUGUGCAUUCAUUUUAUAAUUAUUUAGAAUGGACAUUUUUUAAUUUUUUUUUUGUAACUGAUGUUUGACAUCGGACUUGUGUUGUUUUUUGUUUUUUUUUAGAAUCAACGUGUUUUGUAUAGUGGCUGUUUGAAUAGAAAUUUGCUUUUUUCGGGAUGUCUGUUUGGAAUGAAAUUGUGCUUUUUUGUAAUGGCUGACUGGAAUCGGACUUGUGUGAUUAUGUUAUCGAUUUUCAGAAUUGGACUUGUGCCUUUUUAUGAUCAGUAAUAGAAAUCCGACUUGCGCAUUUUUUUUUGGUGGUUAUUAAAAUUUUUGUGAUGGGUGUUUUUAAUCAUACUUCUGCUUUUUUGUGUGGGCUGUUUGAAAAAGACUUGUGUUUUUCUGUGAUGGAUAUUCACAUUCCGAGUUGUGCAUUUACUUUGUGUUUUUUUAGAAUGGCAUUUUUAUUUGUUUAUUUUAUGUGAUGGCUGUUAGAAGUCUGACUUGUGCCUCCUUUUUAUGAUCGGUGUGGAGUUCGAAACUGGACUUGGUGGGUUUUUUUUGUGAUCAAUGUUCGGCAUAAGACUUGUUUUGUUUUUUUUAAUCAACUGAUUUUUUUUUAGUAGUGGCUGAUUGAAUUGACAUUUGGGUCUUUAUUGAUGGCAGUUCGGACAUGUGUUUUUUUAAUUGAUGUUCUUUAUCAGAUUUGUUUGUUUUUCUUUUAUCAAUGUUUUAAAUUGGACUUGUGCAUUUUUGUGAUCAAUGUUCUGCAUUAGACUUGUGGACUUUUUUUUUUUUGUGAUGGCUUUUUAUGAGCUCUGUUUGAAAUUAGACUUGUGUGUUUUUUGCGAUCAUUGUUUAGUAUCGAAUUUUUUUUUUUUUUUUUUUAAAGAAUCAUGUGCUUUUUUUUAGUAGCUGAAUGAAUUGACAUUUUCUUCUUUGGAGAUGGCUGUUUGGAAUCAGACAUGUGUAUAUUACUUAAGCUCUUCAUCGGAUUUGUGUGUUUUUAUGAUCAAUAUUGUGUUUUUCGUAGUGGUUGUUUAAAUUAAUUGGUUUUUUUUU